Molecule: long non-coding RNA, 522 nt
Filed under: Coturnix japonica (Japanese quail)
Lineage: Eukaryota; Metazoa; Chordata; Aves; Galliformes; Phasianidae
Description: lncRNA (ENSCJPG00005008873.1)
Source: RNAcentral
CAAUAAUCAAUUGCAGUGCAUUGUUAACCUAUGAAUCUCUUUAAUCAAUGUUCCCAAGAAACACCUUGCUGAAAACUCAGUAGCACAGAGUGACCUUAAAAAAGAGUGCAUUAGCUGCUGACCACAUUAAUUAGUUUGUAUCUAGCUCAGCACUAGUCAAGGUUUGGGUUUUUUUCUACAAUCCACCGGCCACAUACAUUUUAUAUUAAACCUCACUUUUCCUGUGAAUUUGUAGGGGAUGACAUCACACAAUAUUCAGGACUUUUCAUCUCCAGCAGCGAGGGAUUUGCUGGUCGAUACACUCUGUUACAAAAGGUGACUUAUUGAUGCUGCCAGAUGAAAUGCUUGGCUGAUCUUCAGGAUAUCUUUCAGACAAUAUACAUUUACUCACCAAAGAAAUUUGGCUACUUCAGGAACGACUGUGAAGGGCUUCGUGGAAAGUAUUUGGAAAUCCCAGUAUGCUUUAUUCACUAGAUCACCCUUAUCCACAUGCUAUUGACCUUAAAAACUGUAAUACUUGAG